This is a non-coding RNA of Gasterosteus aculeatus aculeatus (three-spined stickleback), 358 nucleotides long. The record is from RefSeq and is a predicted model, not a curated record. Lineage: Eukaryota; Metazoa; Chordata; Actinopteri; Perciformes; Gasterosteidae.
GAGGAGGAUCCACCCAGACAUCACUGAAAAUUAAGCAAAGACGUGCCUAUAAAAGAACAUUCAAGGAUGUUAAUCCAGCCGGUAUUAGACGGACUCACAGCUCUGGCCCUGAAAAAAAGAGGAGACGAGUGACAAAAAACAUUACGAGAGAUAGGGGAGACAAGGCGGUGCAGGUUUCAGAGGAACCCAGACACACAGGACACCCUCUUCACCAUGUGAUGAAGACCUGGAUGAAAAGGACUCCUAGAGUGUGUUUGUCACAGAAAUGGGGAGAAAGUGGACUAAACAAGAACAGCAGCCGGCUCAAUGUCACUUCACACCUUUUCAAUGAAGAGAGCGAAGUGGACGGAGAAACCAG